Molecule: long non-coding RNA, 2254 nt
Organism: Oncorhynchus keta (chum salmon)
Lineage: Eukaryota; Metazoa; Chordata; Actinopteri; Salmoniformes; Salmonidae
Exons: 4
Source: RefSeq, a predicted model, not a curated record
CUAGUCACUUCCCCUAGCCCCUGAAGGACCUGCAUAGGAGGGAGCAGUACUCUGCUGACUGUAAAAAUAAUCCACGUUUGAUUUGAUCAUGACUUGUGCACUGAUUUUUUUUUGCCAAAUUCCUUAAACCUCAACUACCACUUUAAUAUAAGUAAUCAUAUAGAAACCAUAUGAGGAGAGAUCUAUAUUUAACUUUGAAUGACUCCUAGUGAGGUGAUAUUUUUAAUGCAGAGCCAUCAGAUUUAUUAACAGUUUUAACUUGUAUCAUAGCAACUGUAUAUUUUUGUAAAAGAUCACCUCAAACAUUACUGUAUUAAGCAAUCUUUUUUUCACUGAACAAAAGAGGUCGGGUAUUUUUGGAUGGUUCUCUGUGGUUCCAUUGCGUUAGACAGUUUUUGUUGCAGGGCCUGUUCUGUGUGUGUGUGUGUGUGUGUGUGUGUGUGUGUGUAAAUGAGAUUCUGUAUUUGACUAUUGGGGUUGGUACAGUUGUAUCGUGAUGUACUGUAGAGAUGAUUUCUGUCACGUAACACAACUUCAUGUCAGUCAAAGAAUGAACAACACUGCUGCUGCAUAGAAGCAACAUUAACACUAAUCUGUCAUUGUUUCAGUGGACAUUUACAGAUGUGUGUCAAUCUAAACAAUGAAACUAUAUCUGAUUAUGUGUAAUACCUCUGGUUUGUGUCUCCGGCCUACAGUAGUGGUUAGUGUUGUCUGUUGUAAAGUGUUGCAACUUUCAUCUGCAAUUCAGGAUGCUAAACUACACUGAAGUGCUGUAUCUGUUUUGGUUUGGAAAGAGUGAUUCAUUUUGAGUUAACUUUUUGAAGGAGAUGGAAAGUGAGUAAAUGAAAUAGCAUAAUGAAGAAUUCCCUGUUUAGCUGCUAUGCACUUCUAAACUCUUCAUGAAGGCUUUACGAAUGAAAAAUGCACUUAAAUGCUUUUGGAGAUCUCAGUGAUUUCAGCCUUUUAACUUAAAAGAUUCAGCUGAGAAAACGCACUCUGCUUUAAUUUCUAUGCUAUUUGCUGUGUGGGGUAAUCGGCUCAAUGGCUCUAUGGUUUCUACAAAUGCAGCUUUAUUUCUCUAAAUGAUGUUCUGAAUAAAAUGUCCUGUGAAAUUAUAUUUCUCCCACUGUGUGGAUUUGACUUACAUGGCAUGUGAGUACAUGGCUGUCUGAGGAAUGACUGGCCUUUGUUCAUAUAACCAGGCUUUUCCUGUUUUAUAUUUGUGAGCAUCUGGACGGGACACAACGAUUCCACAACAACCAAAAGACAGUAUGGUGGAUUGUACUUGCAGUACAUAACAACCCUUUACCGGCAGAUAACAAUAUGGUUUACAUUGACAAUACUUAUGUCUAGAUAACAUGGCUCAAAUCAUAUAUUCAUAAAAAUGUCAUCUAAAUUGUGAUUUGAAUUGGUAUGUUGGUGGCAUCGAGCGGUGGGUUAUUGACUGAUUGGGUCUACAGGGGUGCAUCCUCACCCCUUUUUACGUUGACAGUAUUUCCCAUCCCCCAGUAGGUCAGUGACGUGAGCACUAGCAUUUUGUUAAUGGUGUCAUACAGCCCAGUAAUGUCAUUGGGGUAACAACUGCCAGAUGCCUCGUACAACAGGGGCCUGUUCAACGAAACAGAAUGUUCUGAUAAAAAUGUGUUGUCUCAUGUACCAUUGUCAUUUAUACAAAACAAAAAUAUAAACGCAACAUGUAAAGUGUUGGUCCCAUUUUCAUGAGCUGAAAUGAAACAACUAAAACCAGAUAAAAAGUAAUGGAUCAAUUAUGUUUUUAAAAUACGAUAGUCUUAGAGAACAAACAAUCAGGGUUCAUCUAAAAUGUAAAAAAUGUCAUGGCAUUGAAUUUGUUCCAAUAUUUGAGUCACUCAGAUACUCUAAGAACAAGGCAAAGCCAUGAGAAAAUGUGUAUUAUUGAAGAAAAUUGGCUUUAAAACUGAACGUGUUCUCAGCCGCAUGGUGCGGCACGUAGCCUAGUGGUUAGAGCGUGGGGACAGUAACCAGCAGGUAGCCUAGUGGUUAGAGCGUGGGGACAGUAACCAGCAGGUAGCCUAGUGGUUAGAGCGUGGGGACAGUAACCAGCAGGUAGCCUAGUGGUUAGAGCGUGGGGACAGUAACCAGCAGGUAGCCUAGUGGUUAGAGCGUGGGGACAGUAACCAGCAGGUAGCCUAGUGGUUAGAGCGUGGGGACAGUAACCGGCAGGUAGCCUAGUGGUUAGAGCGUGGGGCCAGUAACCAGCAGGUAGCCUAGUGGU